CAAUAGCGUAUAUUAAAGUUGUUGCGGUUAAAAAGCUCGUAGUUGGAUUUCUGCUGAGAACGACCGGUCCGCCCUUUGGGUGUGUAUCUGGCUCUUUCUUGGCAUCUUCUUGGUGAACGUUGCUGCACUUGACUGUGUGGAGCGCUACCCAGGACUUUUACUUUGAGGAAAUUAGAGUGUUUCAAGCAGGCAUACGCCUUGAAUACAUUAGCAUGGAAUAAUAAGAUAGGACCUCGGUUCUAUUUUGUUGGUUUCUAGAGCUGAGGUAAUGAUUAAUAGGGAUAGUUGGGGGCAUUCGUAUUUAACUGUCAGAGGCGAAAUUCUUGGAUUUGUUAAAGACGGACUACUGCGAAAGCAUUUGCCAAGGAUGUUUUCAUGGAG
This 381-nucleotide ribosomal RNA is filed under the name uncultured eukaryote. RNAcentral's name for it is "partial 18S ribosomal RNA". It matches the Rfam family "Eukaryotic small subunit ribosomal RNA", at positions 592 to 977 of the family's 1831-position model. The record is from RNAcentral.